This 23-nucleotide ribosomal RNA is filed under the name Primulina eburnea. RNAcentral describes it as "partial 18S ribosomal RNA". Lineage: Eukaryota; Viridiplantae; Streptophyta; Magnoliopsida; Lamiales; Gesneriaceae. The record is from RNAcentral.
CUGAGGCGACUGCGGAGACAUUG